This is a long non-coding RNA of Wyeomyia smithii (pitcher-plant mosquito), 673 nucleotides long. RefSeq lists it as uncharacterized. The record is from RefSeq and is a predicted model, not a curated record. Lineage: Eukaryota; Metazoa; Arthropoda; Insecta; Diptera; Culicidae. The transcript has 3 exons.
CAUCGUGCACGCGAAGUUUCUUGUUUGUGGAAAUUUUCGACGGGAAUCGUGUGUGAAAACUUGCCGGUACAGUCAAUGACUUUCCACAUUAAACGGCGAGGGGAGUUGUUGCAGCUUUAUAUUUCUUCCACUGGUCAUUAAAGAAAACUCUCUGAUUAAUUGACUCAAUCUGGAAAUGAUUACGCGCGCUUCGAUUGCGCAAGAGAUGAAAGGCGACAUACGCAGUUGCAUGCUACUGAUGUCGGUUUGCAUCUUUUCGUUGCGCUACACUUUCCCGGACAGUCAGUGUUAGGUACUUCGAAACGGAUGCGAAAAGGAACAAAGAAUGUCAUAACUUGCUGAAAUACCACACGAGACAAUCUCCAACCACGGACAGCCCGAGUAAAAGUUAGUCAUCUUUUUUGUGCAGAAAUCCGGGGGCCACCUCAAACCGGACCAUCAGCUGUUUCCGAUAUAGUUCAACGAGAUCUCAGGAAAACAAGAAAAUCCAUAAAAAAUAGCUUAAAUUGACCUUGGAAAAGGUCGAGAGAUGCUAUCAAAAGCUGACCUAAAAAAACAUAGAAACGUUUCUACAAGGUGGAAAGAAAGAAAGCAUACAGAAGUUUGUGCUGAAAAACAAUCCUAGCAUCCUGACGAAGUCGAAAAGAAAAAAAUCCUUAAUAUAAUUUUAGGU